ACACACACACACACACACACACACACACAGUACGUGCGUGUGCGCGUGUGCUGUAUUACACACAUGCAUAAAAGCAUUGGAAGAUAUCAAGUGACAAGUUGGAUAGAGAGUACAAAGAAACGAGAUGGGCUCGAUCAUGAUGGGAUGUUGCGCGUAGAAUAUGAAAUAUGACGUAUCGUGUUAUUGAACGAUAACUGCAAGUUAUUAGAGUCGAUUGACGCGAGUAAUUCGAUGUAAGGAGCGCGUGAAGCGUCUCUCACCGUGUGCGUGCCGUGUACAAGGCUGUAUCUGUAGCUCGGUUGUUACUCUCGCGAUUGCGACGUUGCACGGUUGCGAGAUCUCACGUACGUAAAUUACUUCGUUAGAGAUGCCGUUUGACAAAUUUUGCUCUCAGAUAGUAUAUAGUUGCGAGGCGCUCAUCGACACUCGUGCUUUGAUCGUGGACGUAAUCGCGUAAUAAUUUGCUCAGUACAUUCGACUUUGGCGCGCAGUUUACAUCUCGUCUGACAAUUGCUGAUUCUAAUAGUUUUGCGCUUCGUCAAGAGUACGUUAUUGUUCAGGAUUACGAGUGAAUUACGAGUGGAUAAUCAAUUGCAUUAUUCGCGGGAAGAAAAUGCAAAGUGGCAGUAAUUUGAAUCAAUUCAAUGACGAUGACUUUUUCAGUAGUGGACCAUGUCCAUCGUGCAGAUUAGCUAUCAAUAAGGAAACCGGUAGACUCAAAUGGUGUCCUGGUGGAAAUGAAACCUGGCGCUUCCGUAUCAAACUAAUGCUUCUUAUACCCGCGAUGUUGCUGCCGAUUACCAUAGUGUUUAUCGCUUUGUCACGAUUUCAAGCCACAACCGAAGCCUCCGAGUCGCGUGUCGUUUCUAUUUACAAGAUACAGGAACAGGAUAAACAAAAAAUCACUGACGUCUUUUGGCCUGCUAUCAGUCACAACGACGCAGAACACACAGCGGAAGGAACCGAAGAAGAGAACCGACUUUUGCUUCCCGAUAUGAAAACGAGUUAUGUGCCCGUAGACACGUAUUCUUCAUUUCAAUCGCGAUCACGAUCGCUUCACCGUCGCAAGAGAGACAUCGACGGGGAGAAUCACACGAGAGAUGGAUUCGAAUUGGACGAUCGAGCAACGUUCUCGUCUCGUGCACAUGCCCGUUUAGCUAACGACAAACUGGCAGAUUUUCUUUCGAGGGAAGACUCGGAUGGAAAAAAUAGUACGAUGGAGAGAGUCUUUUCGGCUUCCGACAACGUAAAGCCGAACGUCGACAAAGUCAAGAUGAAGAACGGUGAAAGCAACGACGCGCAAGAAGAUAAGAUUGAAGAAAAUAAUUUCUUGGGCGAUUACUAUCCGGAAGAAGAAAUUGAUGAUAUUCACGAAAGCAGUGGAACAAGGUGUAAUUGUCGCUAUUCCGGAAAGACAGAAGAAGCGAUGUCAUUUGAAUUCAGUGAUAAAUUCGCGACAGACAUAAAUAUUGAAAAACGAUCGAAGAAGGAAUUGGCGAGAACCCAAAAAGAAGACUCGUUUUCUAUUUCCAUCAAUGAAACGUGGCUAUCGCUAGUUGAAGGACGUGAUGCGAUCGAGAAUGAUGAAAUAUCUGAUCUUCGUACAUUUUGGAAAGGCGAGGGAAAUGCAAAGAGUAUCAGAGAGGCCCGAGCUCAGAUAAUGCUGAGAUAUAUGGAUAAAAGCGUGGAUCCGUGUGAAGAUUUCUAUCAAUAUGCUUGCGGCAAUUGGGCGAAACGUAAUCCUAUUCCAAAAGACAAAGCUGGCUAUGAUACUUUUGAAAUGCUCAGGGAAUCGCUGGAUUCUGUAUUGAGAGAGUUAUUAGAGGACCCGAUAUCAGGCGACGCCGAUGAGAUAAAUGCCGACGAUGCUACGGUAAAGGCGAAAUAUUUGUUUCAAAGUUGCAUGAAUCAUGAUAUUCUGAAGCAACGUAUGGAACAACCACUAAUUCGACUUCUGGAUUAUCUCGGUGGUUGGCCGAUUCUGAGACCGGAUUGGAAUCCUGACAAAUUCGAUUGGCUUCUCUUGACCGCACAACUUCGAUUGUACAAUAAUGACGUAUUAAUUUCGGAAUGGGUGGGUCCAGAUAUUAAAAACAGCGACAAAUACGUGAUACAGUUUGAUCAAACGUCACUCGGGCUUCCUACAAGGGAUUAUUUUCUACAAUCGUCUAACACGAUUUAUCUAGAAGCCUACAAGGAUUACUUGAUGAAAAUCGCAAUUCUACUCGGCGCAUCCUUGGAUAAUGUGACUAUUCAAGCCAAAGAGAUGAUUGAAUUUGAAACGCAACUCGCUUCUAUUACAUCAUCACCGGACGAAAGACGAAAUUUUUCGGAACUAUAUCAACGAAUGAGCAUUGGUGAAUUAAGAACGCUUGUGCCGCAAAUCGAUUGGCGCCGUUACUUGUCGAUCGUUUUGGCUCGACCGAUAAAUUUUUCCGAACCAGUUGUUGUCUUUGCGUUGCAAUAUAUUCAAGAUUUGGUUGUUUUACUUUCAAAGACGCAACCUAGAACAGUGGCGAAUUAUCUCUUGUGGAGAUUUGUACGGCACAGAGUGAACAACUUGGAUGAUCGUUUCCAGGAGGUUAAACAGAAAUUUUACUAUAUUUUAUUUGGUAGAGAACAAGCACCGUCAAGAUGGAAAAAUUGCGUAACCCAAGUUAAUUCUAACAUGGGCAUGGCCGUCGGAUCGAUGUUUGUUAGAAAGUAUUUCGACGAAAACAGUAAAAACGAUACAUUAUCUAUGACUCGAGAGAUACAGCGAUCCUUUAGAGAGCUGCUUAACAAAACCAAUUGGAUUGACGACGAAACAAAAUACUUGGCGACUGAGAAAGUGAACGCUAUGUCACUGAGAAUCGGUUAUCCAGAUUUCAUCCUACAGCCACAUCUACUGAAUGAGCGUUAUAAGGACGUUGUAAUUCGACCAAACGAGUACUUUGAAAAUAUUUUUAAAUAUUUUUACAACAUUUUGACCAGAAUUGAGCAAAAUCGUCUUGGCAACACCGUCAAUAAAACUUUGUGGAACACUGCCCCAGCGGUCGUCAAUGCUUACUACAGUCGCAAUAAAAAUCAGAUAAGUCAGUUCAAUGUUUCCAGCGGGCAUACUACAGCCUCCUUUUUAUCAUAGAUUUUUUCCACGAAGUUUAAAUUACGGUGGAAUUGGUGUUGUGAUUGGACACGAGAUUACUCAUGGAUUUGACGAUAAAGGUAGACUGUUCGAUAAGGACGGGAAUCUUCAUAGAUGGUGGAAAGAUGAAACGAUCGAUGGUUUUCAUCGGCGAGCGCAGUGUCUCAUCGAUCAAUACGCACGUUAUACCGUGACGGAAGUUGGUAUGCAUAUAGAUGGCGUUAAUACACAAGGCGAAAAUAUUGCUGAUAAUGGUGGCAUUAAACAAGCAUUUAGAG
This 3402-nucleotide unclassified non-coding RNA is filed under the name Pogonomyrmex barbatus (red harvester ant). Its description in RNAcentral is "neprilysin-4-like, transcript variant X2". The record is from RNAcentral. Lineage: Eukaryota; Metazoa; Arthropoda; Insecta; Hymenoptera; Formicidae.